CAAUAAACCAAGCAACACCCAUUAAGAAAAGGGUUAUAUAUUUUGUAUAGGCUAAAAUUAAUGUGAUUCAAUGUGUUAUGGAAGUUGCAACGAUUCUUCCCUUCCAUAUUCACUUAGGCAAAUUUGAUGAGUGUUCCAAAGAAGACUAUUCUCUGUGUCUGCGACUUAAGUGCUUUUGAGAGACAGGACUAGCUGGAUUUCCUAGGCCGAUUAAGAAUCCCUAAGCCUAGCCGGGAAGGUGACCGCAUCCGCCUUUAAACACGGGGUUUGCAACUUAGCUCACACCCAAGCAAUCAGGGAGUAAAGAGAGCUCACUAAAAUGCUAAUUAGGCAAAAACAGGAGGUAAAGAAAUAGCUGAUCAUCUAUUGUCUGAGAGCACAGCAGGAGGGACAAUGAUAGGGAUAUAAACCCAGGCAUUCGAGCCAGCAACGACAGCCCCUUUUGGGUCCCCUCCCUUUGUAUGGGAGCUCUGUUUUCACUCUGUUAAAUCUUGCAACUGCACUCUCUGGUCUGUGUUUGUUACAGCUCAAGCUGAGCUUUUGCUCGCCAUCCACCACUGGGGUUUGCCGCCGUCGCAGACAGAGACCCGCCACUGACUUCCAUCUCUCCUGAUCCAGCAGGGUGUCCACUGUGCUCCUGAUCCAGCGAGGCGCCCAUUGCCGCUCCUGAUCCGGCUAGAGGCUUGCCGUUGUUCCUGCACAGCUGAGUGCCCAGGUUCGUCCUAAUCGAGCUGAACAGUAGUCACUGGGUUCCACGGUUCUCUUCUGUGACCCACGGCUUCUAAUAGAGCUAUAACACUCACCUCAUGGCCCAAGAUUCCAUUCCUUGGAAUCUGUGAGGCCAAGAACCCCACCUCAGAGAACACGAGGCUUGUCACCAUCUUGAAAGCUGCCUGCCGCCAUUUUGGAAGCAGCCCACCACCCUCUUGGGAGCUCUGGGAGCAAGGACCCCCAGUAACACUUCCACAUGGCACCAUGGGUCACCUGAAUCCUGAGUUUUUAUUAGAGCUAGUCAGGCAGUUCAGAUAAGAACUCACAAAGUGAAGAGAGAAAACUUUCUCUGCUACAGCUCUGGUGACUGUGACAGAAAGUCAGAACUGUAUAUUUCCUCCUCUACAACCCUAUAGAGCUUAUAUAUAUAUAGAUUACAUUAAUCAAUAUUCACUCUCUUAAAAAUUAAAAUUGGAAA
This 1189-nucleotide long non-coding RNA is filed under the name Pan paniscus (pygmy chimpanzee). RNAcentral's name for it is "lncRNA (ENSPPAG00000045258.1)". Lineage: Eukaryota; Metazoa; Chordata; Mammalia; Primates; Hominidae. The record is from RNAcentral.